GACGAACGCUGGCGGCGUGCUUAACACAUGCGAGUCGAACGGAAAGGCCCUGCUUGCCGGGUGCUCGAGUGGCGAACGGGUGAGUAACACGUGGGUGAUCUGCCCCUUACUUUGGGAUAAGCCUGGGAAACUGGGUCUAAUACUGGAUAGGACCAUGCUGUAGGUGGUGUGGUGGAAAGAUUAGUUUCGGUAAGGGAUGAGCUCGCGGCCUAUCAGCUUGUUGGUGGGGUAAUGGCCUACCAAGGCGUCGACGGGUAGCCGGCCUGAGAGGGUGGACGGCCACAUUGGGACUGCGAUACGGCCCAGACUCCUACGGGAGGCAGCAGUGGGGAAUAUUGCACAAUGGGCGCAAGCCUGAUGCAGCGACGCCGCGUGGGGGAUGACGGCCUUCGGGUUGUAAACUCCUUUCAGCCAUGACGAAGCCCUUGUGGUGACGGUAGUGGUAGAAGAAGCACCGGCUAACUACGUG
This 469-nucleotide ribosomal RNA is filed under the name uncultured bacterium. RNAcentral's name for it is "partial 16S ribosomal RNA". It matches the Rfam family "Bacterial small subunit ribosomal RNA", at positions 28 to 507 of the family's 1533-position model. The record is from RNAcentral.